Molecule: non-coding RNA, 369 nt
Organism: Alloiococcus otitis ATCC 51267
Lineage: Bacteria; Bacillati; Bacillota; Bacilli; Lactobacillales; Carnobacteriaceae
Rfam family: transfer-messenger RNA
About the family: Bacterial tmRNA, also known as 10Sa RNA or SsrA, is named for its dual tRNA and mRNA-like properties.
Source: Rfam
GGGGCUGUUACGGAUUCGACAGGCAUAGAUUGAGCUGUUACUGCGUUUUGGCAGGGUUGCGUCUGCCCAUCAACGCAUUCAGUUUAAAUUUAACUGCAAACGAAAAAAAUUCUAACUUAGCUUUAGCUGCGUAAGUAGCUUCUGCUAGAUCUGAACUGGGAUCGCCCAUGUUGCAGCUUCAGGUCCUAUAAUUUAGUGGGAUACGCUGACUUUUUCCGUCUGUAAAAGUCAGAAGAGAUGACCAGACUAGCGACAUCCCAUGCCCGUUUUACGGCUAAGAUGAAGCGAAAUGAAAUAGUAAAACUAUGAGCGUAGAGGUUUCAGUGGCAAUAUGCCUGGACGCGGGUUCGACUCCCGCCAGCUCCAUUU